AGGAAGGAGAAGUCGUAACAAGGUUUCCGUAGGUGAACCUACAGAAUGAUCAUUG
This 55-nucleotide ribosomal RNA is filed under the name Polylepis neglecta. Its description in RNAcentral is "partial 18S ribosomal RNA". It matches the Rfam family "Eukaryotic small subunit ribosomal RNA", at positions 1777 to 1831 of the family's 1831-position model. Lineage: Eukaryota; Viridiplantae; Streptophyta; Magnoliopsida; Rosales; Rosaceae. The record is from RNAcentral.